Molecule: unclassified non-coding RNA, 355 nt
Filed under: uncultured fungus
Lineage: Eukaryota; Fungi
Description: sequence contains ITS1
Rfam family: 5.8S ribosomal RNA (bases 1-105)
Source: RNAcentral
GAAGUGCGAUAAGCAAUGCGAAUUGCAGAAUUCCGCGAAUCAUCAGAUCUUUGAACGCAAAUGGCGCCAGAGGGAUAUCCUUUUGGCAUGUCUGUUUCAGUGUCUGAGAGGUUUCACACUAAUCUUAAUGUGAUUGACGAUGCAGUCGCUGUAUUUAUAUACAGCUUCAGCAAAGUCUCUCAUGAAAGAUGCGCAAGUGGAUCUUUUGGUCCAAUGAAGUGGUCACAUCAUCAAGCAUGUGAUUUCAUUGGAAUCACCAAAUUAUCCGUCACCUUGCGGCGCUUCACGGCGCACACUUAUUAUAACCACUCUAUACCCUGCAUCUGAGAUAGGCAAGAUCACCCGCUGAACUUAA